GACGAACGCUGGCGGCGCGCCUAACACAUGCAAGUCGAACGAGCGAGAGAGAGCUUGCUUUCUCGAGCGGGUGGCGAACGGGUGAGUAACGCGUGAGGAACCUGCCUCAAAGAGGGGGACAACAGUUGGAAACGACUGCUAAUACCGCAUAAGCCCACGGCUCGGCAUCGAGCAGGGGGAAAAGGAGCAAUCCGCUUUGAGAUGGCCUCGCGUCCGAUUAGCUAGUUGGUGGGGUAACGGCCCACCAAGGCGACGAUCGGUAGCCGGACUGAGAGGUUGAACGGCCACAUUGGGACUGAGACACGGCCCAGACUCCUACGGGAGGGAGCAGUGGGGAAUAUUGCACAAGGGGGGAAAACCUGACGCAGCGACGCCGCGUGGAGGAAGAAGGUCUUCGGAUUGUAAACUCCUGUUGUUGGGGAAGAUAAUGACGGUACCCAACAAGGAAGUGACGGCUAACUACGUG
This 466-nucleotide ribosomal RNA is filed under the name uncultured bacterium. Its description in RNAcentral is "partial 16S ribosomal RNA". It matches the Rfam family "Bacterial small subunit ribosomal RNA", at positions 28 to 507 of the family's 1533-position model. The record is from RNAcentral.